RNAcentral lists this small RNA (327 nucleotides) under Nannospalax galili (Upper Galilee mountains blind mole rat). Its description in RNAcentral is "7SK RNA (ENSNGAG00000005896.1)". The stretch from base 1 to 190 matches the Rfam family "7SK RNA". From Rfam's summary of the family: 7SK was discovered as an abundant small nuclear RNA in the mid-70s but a possible function has only recently been suggested. Two independent studies have found that 7SK RNA binds the CDK9/cyclin T complex (known as elongation factor P-TEFb). The record is from RNAcentral. Lineage: Eukaryota; Metazoa; Chordata; Mammalia; Rodentia; Spalacidae.
GGAUGAGAGAGUAAUCUAGCUGCAACAUCUGUCAUCCAUGGAUCACCAGGGUUGAUUCUGCUAAUCUAGCUGACUAUGUGAGUGUCUCCUUCCUCCCUCACCACUCCAUGUUUGUCCCUUCUUAUACUGCAUGCUCAGUCAAAGCAUAUAAUGGAAAUAGAAGAGCAUGUCAGAUGCUAAAAGCUUUUGCAAUGUGAUGAUAAUUACGAACUUGGGAGCAGGAAAACCCUGGAGAUAGAAAUGGGGGAGGUGAACAGGAAUCCCCUGACACACACACACCUGUAGUUACCCAGGAUAGAAGUCCUUGUUUUCCAAGGCUUUCUCAUG